Molecule: ribosomal RNA, 468 nt
Filed under: uncultured bacterium
Lineage: Bacteria
Description: partial 16S ribosomal RNA
Rfam family: Bacterial small subunit ribosomal RNA
Source: RNAcentral
GACGAACGCUGGCGGCGUGCUUAACACAUGCAAGUCGAACGGAAAGGCCCUGCUUUUGUGGGGUGCUCGAUUGGCGAACGGGUGAGUAACACGUGUGUAACCUGCCCUUGACUUUGGGAUAACUUCAGGAAACUGGGGCUAAUACCGGAUAGGAGCUCCUGCUGCAUGGUGGUGGUUGGAAAGUUUCGGCGGUUGGGGCUGGUCUCGCGGCUUCUCCGCUUCUUGGUGGGGUAGUGGCUUACCAAGGGUUUGACGGGUAGCCGGCAUGAGAGGGUGACCGGCGACAAUGGGACUGAGAGACGGAGCAGAAGCGAACGGGAGGCAGCGGUGGGGAAUAUUGCACAAUGGGCGGAAGCGUGAUGCAGCAAAGCCGCGUGCGGGAUGACGGCCUACGGGGUGAAAACAGAUUUGGCAUGUGACGAAGCGUGAGUGACGGUAAUGGGUAAAGAAGCACCGGCUAACUACGUG